CUUGACUCUGGCGUCACAAACACAGCUUCUUGGAAUCUCAUGCCUGUUACUGGCUGUGUGAUCUGGAGCAACUGGCUUCACCUCUCUGAGCCUUUAUUUCCCACAUCUGCAAAGUGGUGCACAGUAAUACCCACGUUCCUGGCUCUGUGUAAGGAGCCAUGAGAGUGUAUUUAAAGGGCCCAGCACCCAGCUGCUCUCAGUAGAUGCUCAAGAGACAGUAACAACCCUAUCGUUAUAUGAGGUUCAAUGCAACUCAUCUGAUUCCCCUUCCAGUGGCUGGAGAACAUCCCACCUUCUGAGCCUUGGGGAGAAGCAGAGUGUGCCCUUUCCCUGCCCACUGGAGAAGCUGAAACAACAAAAACUCCCUUCCCUGGCCUCCCUGCAGGAGACUCCAGGAAGACUCCUGAAUGCCACACACUCCUAAACCUGAGAGACCUUCAUGCAGAUUGGGGAGCAGCUUUAGGACUGCUGGGUGGAGCCACAAUGAGACAGAUAAGCUCCAGGAAAAUAAGAAGUGCCGAAACAAUGGAGCCACCCAACAAAAAGGGCUGCCACUGCAAGUGGUGAGCUUCCUGUUACUGGAGUAAGUCAAAGAUGGUGUCGAAAAUGGUGAAAUCAAGAACUAGUGCUUAGAAUUAUGGAGAUUUAAAAACAGAAGAGACACCUCCCAGAGUUGCAAGUGGUCGCCUGUCCCAGAGAGCUGGUGAGAUGAGGUGGGGAGGUGGCAGCUGAGUUUUAUGGUGAGAAAGUGGAGUUCGAAGAUGUCAUCAGCCCAGGUCACACAGAUGGUGGAGACCAGUGUGGAGCCCGGGAGUGGGCUGAGCAGAGCAUCUGGACUUUGAGCUUCCAUCAGACCCUGAGAUAGUCACCUGUCCUGGCUGCCUGGUGACCCUGGUGUGCUAACGUGGCACUUAUCUUGCUCUAUGGAGGCCCCUGGGCCCCCUAAACACCAGGCUAGAUCUAGAAAAUGCCACGCAUUUCUGCCUUGCUCUCCUGCGACAUCCACUCUUAGAACCCAGUUGCUGUGCUAAAAAGAACUCACAGACCACGUGGAGUGGAGCAGAUGGGUCAGUGUCCCAGGUGGCAGCCCGUGUCGGCCUCAGACCUGCACGUGAGGAUGCCCACCAGAGGGUUCCUGCCACCACCGUCAAGUCACCCCAGCCUUAAUCUUCCAGCCGGCGCCUCAGGCAUUAUGGGCAGAGGUAAACUGUCUCCAUGAUGCCCUUUCCAAAUUUCUGACCCACAGAAUCCAUGGCUAUAAUAAAAUGGCUGUCUUAUGUGCUCAA
RNAcentral lists this long non-coding RNA (1286 nucleotides) under Homo sapiens (human). RNAcentral's name for it is "HSALNT0362546". The record is from RNAcentral. Lineage: Eukaryota; Metazoa; Chordata; Mammalia; Primates; Hominidae.